This 303-nucleotide unclassified non-coding RNA is filed under the name plant metagenome. Its description in RNAcentral is "partial contains 5.8S ribosomal RNA, internal transcribed spacer 2, and large subunit ribosomal RNA". The stretch from base 1 to 105 matches the Rfam family "5.8S ribosomal RNA", at positions 50 to 154 of the family's 154-position model. The record is from RNAcentral.
GAAAUGCGAUAAGUAAUGUGAAUUGCAGAAUUCAGUGAAUCAUCGAAUCUUUGAACGCACAUUGCGCCCGCCAGUAUUCUGGCGGGCAUGCCUGUUCGAGCGUCAUUUCAACCAUCAAGCCCCCGGCUUGUGUUGGGGACCUGCGGCUGCCCGCAGGCCCUGAAAACCAGUGGCGGGCUCGCUGUCACACCGAGCGUAGUAGCAUACAUCUCGCUCAGGGCGUGCUGCGGGUUCCGGCCGUUUAAAGCCUUUUUUACCCAAGGUUGACCUCGGAUCAGGUAGGAAGACCCGCUGAACUUAAGC